GAUUAAACUGAAGAGUUUGAUCCUGGCUCAGAUUGAACGCUGGCGGUAUGCUUAACACAUGCAAGUCGAACGGAAACGAUGGUAGCUUGCUACCAGGCGUCGAGUGGCGGACGGGUGCGUAACGCGUAGGAAUUUACCUUAUAGUCGGGGACAACUUGGGGAAACUCAAGCUAAUACCGGAUAAUCCUUACGAGGGAAAGGGGGCCUCUUCUUGAAAGCUCUCGCUAUUAGAUGAGCCUGCGUCAGAUUAGCUAGUUGGUGAGGUAAAAGCUCACCAAGGCGACGAUCUGUAGCUGUUCUGAGAGGAAGAUCAGCCACACUGGGACUGAGACACGGCCCAGACUCCUACGGGAGGCAGCAGUGGGGAAUAUUGGACAAUGGGGGCAACCCUGAUCCAGCAAUACCGCGUGUGUGAAGAAGGCCCGAGGGUUGUAAAGCACUUUCAGUAGGGAGGAUUGGUUUUUUAGUUAAUAACUAAGAAGCUUGACGUUACCUACAGAAGAAGCACCGGCUAACUCAGUGCCAGCAGCCGCGGUAAUACUGAGGG
RNAcentral lists this ribosomal RNA (547 nucleotides) under Gammaproteobacteria bacterium. RNAcentral's name for it is "bacterial SSU rRNA". It matches the Rfam family "Bacterial small subunit ribosomal RNA", at positions 1 to 532 of the family's 1533-position model. Lineage: Bacteria; Pseudomonadati; Pseudomonadota; Gammaproteobacteria. The record is from RNAcentral.